RNAcentral lists this ribosomal RNA (253 nucleotides) under uncultured bacterium. Its description in RNAcentral is "partial 16S ribosomal RNA". It matches the Rfam family "Bacterial small subunit ribosomal RNA", at positions 524 to 776 of the family's 1533-position model. The record is from RNAcentral.
UACGUAGGCAGCAAGCGUUGUUCGGAAUUACUGGGCGUAAAGAGUGUGUAGGCGGUGCUCUAAGUCUGUUGUGAAAUCUCCCGGCUUAACUGGGAGGGUGCAGCGGAAACUGGAAUGCUCGAGUAUGGGAGAGGUAAGCGGAAUUCCUGGUGUAGCGGUGAAAUGCGUAGAUAUCAGGAGGAACACCUGUGGUGUAGACAGCUUACUGGACCACCACUGACGCUGAGACACGAAAGCGUGGGUAGCAAACAGG